GCACGCCUCUUGCUGCGUACUGCUGGAUUGCUGCUGUUACGCAGAGACUGCAAGUGAGCUCUGCCGACCUCGCAUCGCCCGCCCGCGCUUCCAGUCCUGCUCCUCGACGACUCGCUCCUCUUCAUCAGUCGGCGACUCCGGACAGCGCGUGAAGGGCGGUGAAGGAUGGCGAGUGGCAGGAGGAAGUGACUGGGGGUCUCGUCUGGUCGCCUGUCUCGCGGGUGAUCCUGCUCCGGCGCUACUUCUUGCUCCGACACGGCCGUACCGUCGGCAGCCUAAAGUCAGCUACACACACUCUUGGCACACUGUUCUG
RNAcentral lists this unclassified non-coding RNA (313 nucleotides) under Rhodotorula toruloides. The record is from RNAcentral. Lineage: Eukaryota; Fungi; Basidiomycota; Microbotryomycetes; Sporidiobolales; Sporidiobolaceae.